AGGGGUAUAGCUCAAUUGGCAGAGCGUUGGUCUCCAAAACCAAAGGUUGGGGGUUCGAUGCCCUCCGCCCCUGCCA
This 76-nucleotide transfer RNA is filed under the name Burkholderiaceae bacterium. RNAcentral's name for it is "tRNA-Trp". It matches the Rfam family "tRNA". From Rfam's summary of the family: Transfer RNA (tRNA) molecules are approximately 80 nucleotides in length. Their secondary structure includes four short double-helical elements and three loops (D, anti-codon, and T loops). Lineage: Bacteria; Pseudomonadati; Pseudomonadota; Betaproteobacteria; Burkholderiales; Burkholderiaceae. The record is from RNAcentral.